Molecule: unclassified non-coding RNA, 331 nt
Filed under: soil metagenome
Description: partial contains 5.8S ribosomal RNA, internal transcribed spacer 2, and large subunit ribosomal RNA
Rfam family: 5.8S ribosomal RNA (bases 1-120)
Source: RNAcentral
GAUGAAGAACGUAGCGAAAUGCGAUAAGUAGUGUGAAUUGCAGAUUUCAGUGAAUCAUCGAAUCUUUGAACGCACAUUGCGCCCGCCAGUAUUCUGGCGGGCAUGCCUGUUCGAGCGUCAUUUCAACCAUCAAGCGCCUCGCUUGUGUUGGGGCCCUGCGGCUGCCGCAGGCCCCUAAAUCCAGUGGCGGGCUCGUCGUCGUACCGAGUGCAGUAAACAUCCUCGCUCAGGGAACCCGACGGGUGCCGGCCGUGAAACCCCCCCUCCUCAAGGUUGACCUCGGAUCAGGUAGGAAUACCCGCUGAACUUAAGCAUAUCAAUAAGCGGAGGA